Molecule: ribosomal RNA, 505 nt
Filed under: uncultured Glomus
Lineage: Eukaryota; Fungi; Glomeromycota; Glomeromycetes; Glomerales; Glomeraceae
Description: SSU rRNA
Rfam family: Eukaryotic small subunit ribosomal RNA
Source: RNAcentral
GGCAGCCGCGGUAAUUCCAGCUCCAAUAGCGUAUAUUAAAGUUGUUGCAGUUAAAAAGCUCGUAGUUGAACUUCAGGCCUGGCUGGAUGGUCCGCCUUCUGGGUGAGUACUGUCUGUGGUCGGGUCCUACCUUCUGGCGAAGCGUCAUGGCCUUCACCGGCCGUGGCGGGGAGCCAGGACUUUUACUGUGAAAAAAUUAGAGUGUUCAAAGCAGGCACGCGCUUGAAUACAUUAGCAUGGAAUAAUGGAAUAGGACAGUGGUUCUAUUUGUUGGUUUCUAGGACCGUUGUAAUGAUUAAUAGGGAUAGUUGGGGGCAUUAGUAUUCAAUUGUCAGAGGUGAAAUUCUUGGAUUUAUUGAAGACUAACUACUGCGAAAGCAUUUGCCAAGGAUGUUUUCAUUAAUCAAGAACGAAAGUUAGGGGAUCGAAGACGAUCAGAUACCGUCGUAGUCUUAACCAUAAACUAUGCCGACUAGGAAUCGGGCGAUGUUGACAAAAUGACGCG